Cicer arietinum (chickpea) is the source of this 1865-nucleotide RNA transcript. It is a transcript of the gene named APO protein 4, mitochondrial, with no coding region annotated. NCBI's taxonomy places the organism in Eukaryota, Viridiplantae, Streptophyta, Magnoliopsida, Fabales, Fabaceae. The record is from RefSeq and is a predicted model, not a curated record.
AAAAAAUAAGAAUAAAUAAAUAUAAAAGUUUAAUGUUCUGCUGCCUGCUAGAUCCUUCUGUCGCGCGCCAUCCACCGUCAUCCUACGUCCACCACUCUACUCCGGCCUCCAACAGUGGCCUUCACUAAAUAGGGGAUCAUUCAAUGGCUUUGAGAAAGAUGUUCUUGAACGAUCUUCUUUUAUACAAAAAAUUGGGAGUGUAUUGCUUUGGCAACUGUGGCAGAUUCUACGCCACCAAAGUGGAUUUGAGGAAGCUCAGACCCAUGAUUCUCAAGAGAAUUGAGAAACGUUCCCACCUUUACCCUAUUCGUGCCAUGGUUCCUGUUGCCAAUGAGGUCUUACUCGCCAGAAAUUUUCUUAUCAAUGGUGUUUCCACUCUCCUUAAAUCAUUUCCUGUCAUGGCUUGCAAAUUUUGUCCCGAGAUAUAUAUUGGUGAGCAGGGGCAUUUAAUUCCGACUUGCUGGGGUUACAAGCGUCGUGCCAAGAACCGGGUUCAUGAAUGGGUCAAAGGUGGUUUGAAUGAUAUAAUUGUUCCUGUUGAGACAUUUCACCUGAAAAACAUGUUCCAAAGUGUUAUUAGGCAUGACCAAAGGUUUGACUUUGAUCGCAUCCCUGCUGUUGUUGAGCUAUGCUGGCAAGCAGGGGCUGAUCCCCAUGAUGAAAACCUUAAUUCAAGUAGUUGGAACAUGGAGACUGCUAAUGCCAAUGCUGAUGGUACUGAGUCUUUGUCACCAAAUGAUCUUGCCUUAAUAGCAAAUAAAACUUUCAAAGCUUGGGAGACUCUCAGGUCUGGGGUAAAAAAGUUGGUUUUGGCAUAUCCGGUAAAAGUUUGUAAAUAUUGUUCAGAGGUUCAUGUUGGGCCCUCUGGCCAUCAAGCUAGGCUCUGUGGAGUGUUCAAGUAUGAGAGUUUUAAAGGAGGUCAUUUUUGGAUGAAAGCUAAUGUGGAUAAUUUAGUGCCUCCAAAGAUUGUAUGGAGACGAAGGCCUCAAGAUCCUCUUGUACUUGUGAGUGAAGGGAGAGAUUUCUAUGGACGUGUUCCAGCUGUGCUGGAUUUGUGCACAAAAGCUGGUGCCAUUGUGCCUGCAAAGUAUAAUUAUAUGAUGAAAGUGCAAGGUUUGUCUGGUCCCGUCAAUAAAAUGAUUUGGCAGGAGCAAUAGAGGAUCAAAAUUUUGAAAGCAGCAACAAAUUGAGUCGUAAAUCGCAAUCAGUCACUCAAUCAUUUGCGGAAGAAAUUUGACAUUACUUUCAUAUGCAAUUUUCUGCAUAAUUUGAGGUUUUGUCUUGGAUAUCUGAUUAUGGAUCUUUCUGCCUGUUCUUCUGUUGGUUACAGUAAUAAAUUUUGUUCUCAUAUCUCCCAAAAUAUUUAUGCAGAGCAAAAUAAAAUCUAUACAUUCAUGUGUGGCUGGACUUAAUGGACCUGCUCUUCAGACUUGACGAAGAGACGGUCUCCAUUUUCAACUCCAUGCCACCUAAGACUACAACUAUCACGCAUGAUCCUCUGCCUGUGUAUAAACAAAUAGUCAUCAAUUGGCAGAAUUUUUCUGCUUAGCAACAACUGCUUCAAGUCAUUGACAGUGUUUGCAUCUCUCAUCUCCAACGGAAUGGUGGCUCCAUUAAGCAAACUAGAGGAGGUUUGUACCACCAAGCUCACCUUCCUAGAUGGUGGUUCUUCUCUUGACCGAUUCAUGUUCUUGAGAAAAUAUCAGCACCAGAGUAAGGCGAGAAGAUCUUGUGUGUUCAACCACAUAUAUGCCAUAGAAUCAUUUCACCAAUGUUAUAUGUAAUGUAAUAUGUACAUUGAAUUUUUAUACACACUGCAUAUGGUGUUGAAUAUGUGAAAGAAAAAAAAAAAAACUUGAGUUUAA